This 813-nucleotide ribosomal RNA is filed under the name Triticum aestivum (bread wheat). RNAcentral's name for it is "partial small subunit ribosomal RNA". The record is from RNAcentral. Lineage: Eukaryota; Viridiplantae; Streptophyta; Magnoliopsida; Poales; Poaceae.
AUGAAGAGCCUAGAUGAUUUUACUGCAACGGUACUAAAAGGAUAUCUCGAGGCUUUGACUGCUGCUUUAUGUAUGAACAUUUAUGUGGUAGGGCUGAAUCAGCUAUAUGACAUUCAGAUUGACAAGAUCAACAAGCCAGGUCUUCCAUUGGCAACUGGGGAAUUUUCAGUAGCAACUGGAGUAUGUUUAGUAGUCACAUUCCUGAUCAUGAGCUUUAGCAUCGGAAUACGUUCCGGAUCCGUGCCACUGAUGUGUGCUUUAGUUGUCAGCUUCCUUCUUGGAAGUGCAUACUCCAUUGAGGCUCCGUUGCUCCGGUGGAAACGGCAUGCGCUCCUCGCUGCAUCCUGUAUCCUAUUUGUGAGGGCUAUAUUGGUCCAGUUGGCUUUCUUUGCACAUAUGCAGCAACAUGUUCUGAAAAGGCCCUUGGCAGCAACAAAAUCACUGGUGUUUGCAACAUUGUUCAUGUGUUGCUUCUCUGCCGUCAUAGCUCUAUUCAAGGAUAUUCCUGAUGUUGAUGGAGACCGAGAUUUUGGCAUCCAAUCCUUGAGUGUGAGAUUGGGGCCACAAAGAGUGUAUCAGCUCUGCAUAAGCAUACUGUUAACAGCCUAUGGGGCUGCCACUGUAGUAGGAGCUUCAUCCACACACCUACUUCAAAAGAUCAUCACUGUGUCUGGCCAUGGCCUGCUUGCUGUGACACUUUGGCAGAGAGCGCGGCACCUUGAGGUUGAAAACCAAGCGCGUGUCACAUCAUUUUACAUGUUCAUUUGGAAGCUAUUCUAUGCAGAGUAUUUCCUUAUACCGUUUGUGCAGUAA